GAUGAACGCUGGCGGCGUGCCUAAUACAUGCAAGUCGAGCGAACGGACGAGAAGUUUGCUUCUCUGAUGUUAGCGGCGGACGGGUGAGUAACACGUGGAUAACCUACCUAUAAGACUGGGAUAACUUCGGGAAACCGGAGCUAAUACCGGAUAAUCUUUUGAACCGCAUGGUUCAAAAGUGAAAGACGGUGUUGCUGUCGCUUAUCGAUGGAUCCGCGCUGCAUUAGCUAGUUGGUAAGGUAACGGCUUACCAAGGCAACGAGGCAUAGCCGACCUGUGAGAGUGAUCGGCCACACGAGAACUGAGACAGGGUCCAGACUCCUACGAGACGCAGCAGUAGGGAAUCUUCCGCAAUGGGCGAGAGCCUGACGGAGCAACGCCACGUGAGUGAUGAAGGUCUUCGGAGCGUAAAACUCUGUUAUUAGGGAAAAACAUAUGUGUAAGUAACUGUGCACAUCUUGACGGUACCUAGUCAGAAAGCCACGGCUAACUACGUG
RNAcentral lists this ribosomal RNA (497 nucleotides) under uncultured bacterium. RNAcentral's name for it is "partial 16S ribosomal RNA". It matches the Rfam family "Bacterial small subunit ribosomal RNA", at positions 28 to 507 of the family's 1533-position model. The record is from RNAcentral.